CAGGAUGAACGCUAGCUACAGGCUUAACACAUGCAAGUCGAGGGGCAGCAUGAGAUCAGCUUGCUGAUCUUGAUGGCGACCGGCGCACGGGUGAGUAACGCGUAUCCAACCUUCCCCCUACUCAGGCAUAGCCCGGUGAAAACCGGAUUAACUCCUGAUAGUUUCACUAGAUGGCAUCUGACGGUGAAUAAAGCUCCGCGGUAAGGGAUGGGGAUGCGUCUGAUUAGCUUGUUGGCGGGGUAACGGCCCACCAAGGCGACGAUCAGUAGGGGUUCUGAGAGGAAGGUCCCCCCACAUUGGAACUGAGACACGGUCCAAACUCCUACGGGAGGCAGCAGUGAGGAAUAUUGGUCAAUGGGCGCGAGCCUGAACCAGCCAAGUAGCGUGCAGGACGACGGCCCUAUGGGUUGUAAACUGCUUUUGUGCGGGAAUAAAGUCAGGGACGUGUCCCUGUUUGCAUGUACCGCAAGAAUAAGGACCGGCUAAUUCCGUGCCAGCCGCAGC
RNAcentral lists this ribosomal RNA (504 nucleotides) under uncultured bacterium. Its description in RNAcentral is "bacterial SSU rRNA". It matches the Rfam family "Bacterial small subunit ribosomal RNA", at positions 25 to 518 of the family's 1533-position model. The record is from RNAcentral.